UUUUUGUAAGGUCUGUUGAUAAAGGAAAAGCGCAUCAUUUGUAUUAUCUCUCUCCUCCUCACACGGUCACUGACCUCAUUGCUGCUUCCCUCUCUGCUUAGCAUCUCCUUCUCUCUCCCUACCAUGCAUCUCCUCCUCCCUUCGAGGUCCAGUGGCGAUUGUUCUUGUUGUGACGGCGGAGCGGGUGGUGAAGGUGGUGCUUGUGACACUUCAAAAUCUUGCCUAGGGUUUCGAAUUUGGGGUUUUUAUUGAUGCCAUGAGGACACCAACAGCUACGAUGAACCUCAGCAACAUGCUAACUAAAAAUAUAUACGGAGUAUGUUCGUCUUGGAGAUUUUCGGUACUCUCCAAAUAGUAGUAUGGCCAGGAGGUGCUCACUAGAGGAAGCACCUGAAACAAGUUAAUUAGACAUAUUUAUGAUUUUAUCCAAGGAUUAGUAAGCACGCGCUGUGAUUGAAGUCUGACAUACCUGAACAACAUCAGCUGCAGCAUAACCAGCAGCCUGACCUCCCAUGAAGUGAAGGCCAUUCCCAAAACCACAGAGUAACCCUGUAAGUAAGGCCCAUCCGCUUCCUUUCGAGUCUGCUAGGUAGGCCUUAAACGAUGACUUUGGCAAGUUCGAAAUAGGGUGGUAUAGGAACAUGAUGCUCCUAUUUAACACCUACAAGUGAUUGAAUUGCUUUCAACCGAUAGAUAACUAAUGUAUACAACAUAAGAACUAAAGAAGGCCCUAAAUCCCUACAUGAUGCUACUAUGUUAGUCAAAUUUGCUACUGGUCAAUUCCGGAAUCUCGUUGCAGUUGAUGAAGUGGAGAAAAUGUAUGGCAUUAUUCGUGAUAACUUGAAGAGGGAGUUGUCAUCAUUAAUUUCCUUGUGUAUCCAGGUUUUCAAAACUCCAAGGGAGAGGCCCUUUACCAAAGAGCAGUUGGAUGAAGUUCGAGACAAGUGGGCUAUUUACUUCAACGAUUGUGAACUACCCUCAGUGUAAUAAAUAGAGCAGGCUUGUAGUUAUUCGUGACUCUUACAUUAUUUUGUUAUUUAUCGAUUUAAUUAAUAACAUUUGAAUUAAUUCGGUAAUAUUAUUGAAAAUUUGAAAUUUAUAUCA
Long non-coding RNA from Spinacia oleracea (spinach), 1104 nucleotides. RefSeq lists it as uncharacterized. The transcript is spliced from 4 exons. The record is from RefSeq and is a predicted model, not a curated record. Lineage: Eukaryota; Viridiplantae; Streptophyta; Magnoliopsida; Caryophyllales; Amaranthaceae.